AACGAACGCUGGCGGCAGGCUUAACACAUGCAAGUCGAGCGCCCCGCAAGGGGAGCGGCAGACGGGUGAGUAACGCGUGGGAACGUACCUUUUGGUUCGGAACAACUCCGGGAAACUGGAGCUAAUACCGGAUAAGCCCUAACGGGGAAAGAGUUAUCGCCGAAAGAUCGGCCCGCGUCUGAUUAGCUAGUUGGUGAGGUAACGGCUCACCAAGGCGACGAUCAGUAGCUGGUCUGAGAGGAUGAUCAGCCACACUGGGACUGAGACACGGCCCAGACUCCUACGGGAGGCAGCAGUGGGGAAUAUUGGACAAUGGGCGCAAGCCUGAUCCAGCCAUGCCGCGUGAGUGAUGAAGGCCUUAGGGUUGUAAAGCUCUUUUGUCCGGGAAGAUAAUGACUGUACCGGAAGAAUAAGCCCCGGCUAACUUCGUG
Molecule: ribosomal RNA, 431 nt
Filed under: uncultured bacterium
Lineage: Bacteria
Description: partial 16S ribosomal RNA
Rfam family: Bacterial small subunit ribosomal RNA
Source: RNAcentral